GACGAACGCUGGCGGCGUGCUUAACACAUGCAAGUCGAGCGAGGCCCCUCCUUCGGGAGGGUGUCCUAGCGGCGAACGGGUGAGUAACACGUGGGCAACCUGCCCUCAGCUCUGGGAUAACUCCGGGAAACCGGGGCUAAUACCGGAUACGACCUCCACGGGCAUCUGCGGAGGUGGAAAGUUUUUCGGCUGAGGAUGGGCCCGCGGCCUAUCAGCUAGUUGGUGGGGUAGUGGCCCACCAAGGCGACGACGGGUAGACGGCCUGAGAGGGCGACCGGCCACACUGGGACUGAGACACGGCCCAGACUCCUACGGGAGGCAGCAGUGGGGAAUAUUGCGCAAUGGGCGAAAGCCUGACGCAGCGACGCCGCGUGAGGGACGAAGGCCUUCGGGUUGUAAACCUCUUUCAGCAGGGACGAAGCGAAAGUGACGGUACCUGCAGAAGAAGCACCGGCCAACUACGUG
This 465-nucleotide ribosomal RNA is filed under the name uncultured bacterium. RNAcentral's name for it is "partial 16S ribosomal RNA". It matches the Rfam family "Bacterial small subunit ribosomal RNA", at positions 28 to 507 of the family's 1533-position model. The record is from RNAcentral.